Long non-coding RNA from Oreochromis niloticus (Nile tilapia), 689 nucleotides. RefSeq lists it as uncharacterized. The transcript is spliced from 2 exons. The record is from RefSeq and is a predicted model, not a curated record. Lineage: Eukaryota; Metazoa; Chordata; Actinopteri; Cichliformes; Cichlidae.
UGUUUCCCAUUUAAUUCCAAUCAUUCAUUUUCAAUUCAGUCUGUAUUAAAACCCGUGAAUAUUGUAAGCCAGACUGCGAGUCCUGCAUUCUCUACACACCAGAACGUGACACAGGAUAGAUCGUUUUGUGGUGGGACAUCCGGGCGGUCAGCUGCCUACACAUCGUGGAGACUUUUUACCUCUGGAUUGAAUUUUCUGGACACGUUUGAAAUCUAACUGUAAUCACAGAUUCACUUUGAAUAUGUUGGAAAUUCUUUUUUUUUUUUGCAUCCCUGUGAGACUGAAAGGCUCUGACAGCUGUGUUUCUGAAGGAAGAGCUCUUUAGACCCUGGCAUGACCUUCACACUCAGCUCUGUGUUCUCCAUACCACUGCAGGAAAACCACCACGACCCACUGAUGAAAAAUAUUCAAUGAAUAAAUGAAAGAUGAGCUAUUAUGAUUCAGUUUUCAAUCAAAAAUACAAAUGAAGUGUUUUCAUGGUGUUUUCUCACUGAGCUGCAUCUCCUGAUGAUCAGUAAGCUCGUCUUCUUCAUCCACUGUGUUUACAAAGAUCAUGGUCACUCGUGAAAUCAUGUCAUGAAGGGCAUCCACUUAAAAAAAUACUAAUAAUAGACUGAAAUUUUAGAAUCUGCCAACUGAAACAUACAGAGCUUUCCACUGUGGUGACCUCGUGUGAAUAACGGAGCAAC